RNAcentral lists this ribosomal RNA (477 nucleotides) under uncultured bacterium. Its description in RNAcentral is "partial 16S ribosomal RNA". It matches the Rfam family "Bacterial small subunit ribosomal RNA", at positions 28 to 506 of the family's 1533-position model. The record is from RNAcentral.
GAUGAACGCUAGCGGCAGGCCUAACACAUGCCAGUCGAGGGAGAAGCCCUUUCGGGGGCAGAAACCGGCGCACGGGUGCGUAACGCGUAUGCAACCUACCUUUCACAGGGGGAUAGCCCGAAGAAAUUUGGAUUAAUACCCCAUAAUAUUAUUGGAUGGCAUCAUUUGAUAAUUAAAACUGCGGUGGUGAAAGAUGGGCAUGCGUCCUAUUAGCUAGUUGGAGUGGUAACGGCACCCCAAGGCUACGAUAGGUAGGGGUCCUGAGAGGGAGAUCCCCCACACUGGUACUGAGACAGGGACCAGACGCCUACGGGAGGCAGCAGUGAGGAAUAUUGGUCAAUGGUCGGAAGACUGAACCAGCCAUGCCGCGUGCAGGAAGAAUGCCUUAUGGGUUGUAAACUGCUUUUAUAUGGGAAGAAUAAGGCGUACGUGUACGUUGAUGACGGUACCAUAUGAAUAAGCAUCGGCUAACUCCGU